AUACGUAGGUGGCAAGCGUUGUCCGGAUUUAUUGGGCGUAAAGCGAGUGCAGGCGGUCUUCUAAGUCUGAUGUGAAAGCCUUCGGCUUAACCGGAGAAGUGCAUCGGAAACUGGGAGACUUGAGUGCAGAAGAGGACAGUGGAACUCCAUGUGUAGCGGUGGAAUGCGUAGAUAUAUGGAAGAACACCAGUGGCGAAGGCGGCUGUCUAGUCUGUAACUGACGCUGAGGCUCGAAAGCGUGGGUAGC
Molecule: ribosomal RNA, 247 nt
Filed under: uncultured bacterium
Lineage: Bacteria
Description: partial 16S ribosomal RNA
Rfam family: Bacterial small subunit ribosomal RNA
Source: RNAcentral